GGGCGCGUAGCUCAGUUGGUAGAGCAACGGGCUUUUAACCUGUAGGUCCCAGGUUCGACCCCUGGCGCGCUCACCA
This 76-nucleotide transfer RNA is filed under the name Planctomycetota bacterium. RNAcentral describes it as "Planctomycetes bacterium (subsurface metagenome) tRNA-Lys". It matches the Rfam family "tRNA". Rfam says of the family: Transfer RNA (tRNA) molecules are approximately 80 nucleotides in length. Lineage: Bacteria; Pseudomonadati; Planctomycetota. The record is from RNAcentral.